This is a long non-coding RNA of Meriones unguiculatus (Mongolian gerbil), 2577 nucleotides long. RefSeq lists it as uncharacterized. NCBI's taxonomy places the organism in Eukaryota, Metazoa, Chordata, Mammalia, Rodentia, Muridae. The transcript is spliced from 3 exons. The record is from RefSeq and is a predicted model, not a curated record.
UCAUAUAACUUAGAUUAUUAAAUGAAUCUAAAAAAUAAAGAGCUCUCUCACUCACAUGAGGAAAUGUGUCUGACUGACACGGAAAUGGUAGGCAGGGAUCACUCUAGACUCCAUGAUUGGCUUCGGGAAGCCACCUUAGGUGAUCUCCUGCAGUAUGGUGGAACUCCCCUCCUGGGCCAGCUGUGGAUCUAGCAAGAGUGCUAGAAAAGACCACAGUUGCCAUCUCUCUUGAAACCAGGGUUCUUCAUUUUGGGCACUGUAGAGGUUUGGGGCUAGAUAAUUCUUUACUGGGGGGAGGAGCUGGCACCCCGUGCUUAACCAUAUCUCCCCAUGCCACCAGCACAGCCCUCUCAAUACAACCCAAAAGUGUUUCCAGGCAUUAUCCACCGAUCCCUGGUAGAACAAAAUUGACCCCCAUUAAUAUCCAUGGCUCAAGCCACAUUUCUUUUACAGUAAAAAUCUCUUUGAGUCUUCAUGUGCUGUUCAUAGUAAGAAGAAUAUCAUGAAGACACAUUUGGGUUUCAUAAUAUUAAAAAAAUCCAAUGUGAGCCGGGCAUGGUGGUGCACGCCUUUAAUUUCAGCACUCAGGAGGCAGAGGCAGGCAGACCUCUGAGUUCAAGGCCGGACUGGUCUACAGAGUGAGUUUCAAGGCAGCCAGGGCUACACAGAGAAACCUUUUCUCGAAAAAUAAAAACAAAAAUCCAAUGUGAUUUAUUUGUUUGCCUUUGAACUUGUUGCCUUGGGCCACAGUGCAUGCUGCAUAUGGAAAGGAUCUCAGUCUUCAAAGUGGGAAAACUUGUUCCUACUCCUAACCCCACCGUUAGCCAGCUCUUCGACACAGGUGGAAUUUUAGGUUAGUCCCUCCGACCCUCCCUUGGUUUUUCCCUUUGUAAAUGAAAACCUCUGACUGAAUUCCCAAGUUCAGAAUACAAAGACAGUGACUUGGAAUUCGAUGAUUCCACAGCCACGAAUGCCACAGAGCAGAGGAGUGAGCGACCUGUCCUAUCUAGGCUUUAUGUUAAGCCUCCUAAGACGCUCACUGAGCUCUGUUUCCCGGAGCACCAAAGGCAAGCCCCUCAACUGGAUUCUCCUGAAAGUCAGGAUCCAUCUCUAGAACGACAAGUGGCCAGAGUCCUGUCACCUGAUGUCCAGCAGUGACUGAUUAACAGCCUCUAGAACGGCAUAAAGGAGAUCACCAGGCAGAGCCCGAGUGUUUUCUACCUGCACCACAAGGAAGACUUUUGGAGAGGAGAAGUAGGAUUUUAAAAAUCGCGUUUAGCCGGGCUCAGUGGCACACCCCUGUAAUCCCAGCAAAGGCAGGUGGAUCUUUGUGAGUUUGAGGCCAGCCUUAUCUACAAAGCUCAUCCAGGACAUCUGAGGCUACAACAGAGGAACACUAUCUUGAAAAAACAAAAACAAACAAAAAAGUGCAGUUUUUUUGUACUGUGAAAUGUGAAAAUAAAAUUGUCAGCUGUUUUAGUAAAAGAAGAAAAAGAAGAAGGAGAAGAAAGAAGAUAAGGCAGGAAAGAUGUGAGCCUUGGAAAUGGGAAUAUAGCUUAACUGACACAGUGCUUGCCUAGCACACACAAGGUUCAGUUCUUAGCAAUGAAUAAAUUGGUGUAGCAGUCUUCAUCUGUAAUCCUAGAACUAAAGAGUCCCAGGUAAAAAGGAUCAGAAGUCCAAGGUUAUCUUAAACUACACAGCAAGUUCAAGGUCAGCCUGGGAUAUAUGAGAUUUUAUCUCAAAAAAGUAAAAUAAAGUAAAUAAGCCUAGGACUAGAUGUGAUACCAUAGAAACUACCAAAACACACAAAACCCCCUUACACUGUACUUCCUACAUUUACUUCCAAAGGACAAAUCCGGAGAUAAGCUCAUGGGAUCGGAGGUCCUUUGGGUUCCACGGUGUUUAAAGCCCAGGCAGAAAGAAAGAAGUCGUAUUUGGUUACCUUUGUAAACACUGGAGCGGCAAUGAUAGGCUUUCCAUCCAGUCCUUGCAAGUAGUUGGUAGGACUCUGACACUGUGAGGAGGAAUCAACAACAGGUCCAUCGUCACCAUGGCUACCGCACAGAUAGACCUAAAGAUAACAGAUCUACAGACUUUGUUGUAUAAAAUUAAUCUCAAGUCAAAACCCUAGUGAUUUCUAAAUUCAUGACUCACAGACUUGAGCUUGUAGAUUGAAUCGAUUGCAUUUCUUCCUAGGUCAGACUGGCUGUAAAACAAACUUCUCCAACCCCACUUGGGUCCAGGUAACUAGUCCUAGGCUGAAAAGGGCUCAUCAUUGUGCAGCGAUUACACAAAUCACAGUUUAAAGACCAACGUAUUUGGAGUCAAAGUUGACCUUCCCCAUUACUGAAAAGGUGUCCACGGAAGCCAGAAGAGGCAGCUGGAUUCCCCAGGAUUAUGUUUGGUUGUGAGCCACCCAACGCAAAUGCCAGGGAUUGAAGUCAGGCCCUCCGCAAGAGCAACCCUUGGCCUUAACCACUGAGUCACCUCUCCGGCUCCUAUUCGAGUUUUUUUACUUAAUAUGCUUCUGUACAUUGGAUGCUUUAUAAUAAACAUUAUCAUCAACGUGAAAAA